UACGUAGGGUGCAAGCGUUGUCCGGAAUUAUUGGGCGUAAAGAGCUCGUAGGCGGUCUGUCGCGUCUGCUGUGAAAACUCGGGGCUUAACCCCGGGCCUGCAGUGGGUACGGGCAGACUAGAGUGCGGUAGGGGAGACUGGAAUUCCUGGUGUAGCGGUGAAAUGCGCAGAUAUCAGGAGGAACACCGGUGGCGAAGGCGGGUCUCUGGGCCGUAACUGACGGCUGGAGGAGCGAAAGCGUGGGGAGCGAAACAGG
RNAcentral lists this ribosomal RNA (256 nucleotides) under uncultured bacterium. Its description in RNAcentral is "partial 16S ribosomal RNA". It matches the Rfam family "Bacterial small subunit ribosomal RNA", at positions 524 to 776 of the family's 1533-position model. The record is from RNAcentral.